This is a long non-coding RNA of Felis catus (domestic cat), 640 nucleotides long. RefSeq lists it as uncharacterized. The record is from RefSeq and is a predicted model, not a curated record. Lineage: Eukaryota; Metazoa; Chordata; Mammalia; Carnivora; Felidae. The transcript is spliced from 3 exons.
ACCGUCCGCUCCCAGGAGGCCUGCAGCUUCCAAGGGCGGUUGGCCCGCCACGGGGACUCACCCCGCAGCGCGUCCGGCUCCAAACGGAGCAGAGGAAACACCAUGUCCUCAAUGACUUAUCCUUGACUGACACCAUUUUUUUUCCCCCUCAGCGGGGCUCUUCUUGUUAUGUGGUUCCUGCAAUAUCCUCUCCUCCCACACAUUUUUUUCCCCCCCUGUCAAAAAAGUUUCUAUUUUCUUCCUUGAAAUCUUUUUCCUGGUCUUUUUUUUUUUUUUUUUUUUAAUCUCGCUUUCCAGCCUUCCUUUAAUGAGGUCAAAGACUACAGACAGACCUAUAGAUUUUGGCUUCAUCUGAGGACACGGAAUUCAAACAUCCAGGUGGAGAAACCGAGGCUUAAAGAGAUCAAGAGGCUGCCCACACUUACACAGCUGCUAAGGGACAAGGAACUUUGUGUUCUUCCUGUCAUGGGUAUUGUCGUGUCCCUGAGGGUUUCUCAGCCUCCUGAUGACCCCGGCGUGGCAUACCCAAAGCCUCAGUUUCCUCCUCUGCAAAAUGGAGGCAAUAAUGGUAUCUACCUCAUAGGAAUCGAUGAGAAACAUUUGGCCCAGCAUAUGACUCAUAAUAAACAUUUAAUUAUUA